ACACGGGGGGGGCGAGCGUUAUUCGGAAUUACUGGGCGUAAAGGGCGCGUAGGCGGUCCGUUAAGUGUGAAGCGAAAUGCCUGGGCUCAACUUGGGAAGUGCUUUGCAUACUGGUGGACUUGAGUCCAAGAGGGGGUGGUGGAAUUCCUGGUGUAGGGGUGAAAUCCGUAGAUAUCCGGAGGAGCACCGUUGGCGAAGGCGGCCACCUGGAUUGGUACUGACGCUGAGGCGCGAAAGCGUGGGGAGCGAACAGGAUUAGAAACCCGGGUAGUCC
Molecule: ribosomal RNA, 274 nt
Filed under: uncultured bacterium
Lineage: Bacteria
Description: partial 16S ribosomal RNA
Rfam family: Bacterial small subunit ribosomal RNA
Source: RNAcentral